RNAcentral lists this ribosomal RNA (393 nucleotides) under uncultured bacterium. Its description in RNAcentral is "partial 16S ribosomal RNA". It matches the Rfam family "Bacterial small subunit ribosomal RNA", at positions 523 to 918 of the family's 1533-position model. The record is from RNAcentral.
AUACGUAGGAUCCGAGCGUUAUCCGGAUUUAUUGGGUUUAAAGGGAGCGUAGGCGGACGCUUAAGUCAGUUGUGAAAGUUUGCGGCUCAACCGUAAAAUUGCAGUUGAUACUGGGUGUCUUGAGUACAGUAGAGGUGGGCGGAAUUCGUGGUGUAGCGGUGAAAUGCUUAGAUAUCACGAAGAACUCCGAUCGCGAAGGCAGCUCACCGGGCCGGAACUGACACUGAUGCUCGAAAGUGCGGGUAUCAAACAGGAUUAGAUACCCUGGUAGUCCGCACAGUAAACGAUGAAUACUUGUUUUCGGCGAUAUAAUGUCGGAGGCAAAGCGAAAGCGAUAAGUAGUCCACCUGGGGAGUACGCCGGCAACGGUGAAACUCAAAUGAAUUGACGGGG